GAAAAAUUGUUAUAGGUUGCCCUUAAAAUGGUCUGGGUUCUUGCCUUCAUGUAUUAUUGACGCAUCGAUGUGCAUAUCUUUCAAAAUGGCCAUCUUCUUGUUGAAUAAUGGAAGGAGAAAUGAUGAAUGGUCACAUCUCCUACCAAGAAACCUACAGAUAAGAAGCUUAAGUAAACUAGUUAAGGAAUCUGAAUAUUGCCUAUGGACUUAAAUACAUAAAUCUCCGUUAAUUUAAUAAAAUUUUUAAAAAUUAAAGAAAUCACUAUAUUCACACAUGUAAAGAAAUAAAAAGUCUCAGUUGCAGCUAUUUGUCAAAGUUAAUAUCCAUUUCUUUUUAUAUACAGUGAAUAUUGCGCAAUUAUAGAUCUGGAUUUUGAACCACUUAAAUAAUGAAGCAACACCGGGUGUUUUGAGGUGUUGGCAUUCUUCAAUGAUUUGGCUGUUCCCAAUGUUUACAUUAUUUAAUCUUGCAAAAAUGAUCCUGUGCACUUGGAUGUGACAUGCUGUCUAGUCCGGUGUCAUCUUUUUUUUUAAUGUUGUUUAUUUUUGGAUGUACAAAAGAAAAAUUGGGGGGAGGGGGGGAUCUCUGUAGAUACUCUUGUACUUUGAAGUUACCGGAAAUGGAAC
Molecule: long non-coding RNA, 627 nt
Filed under: Androctonus crassicauda
Lineage: Eukaryota; Metazoa; Arthropoda; Arachnida; Scorpiones; Buthidae
Source: RNAcentral